Unclassified non-coding RNA from Erinaceus europaeus (western European hedgehog), 99 nucleotides. It matches the Rfam family "Y RNA". Rfam says of the family: Y RNAs are components of the Ro ribonucleoprotein particle (Ro RNP), in association with Ro60 and La proteins. Lineage: Eukaryota; Metazoa; Chordata; Mammalia; Eulipotyphla; Erinaceidae. The record is from Ensembl.
GGCUGGUCCAAUGGUAGUGAGUAAUCAGAAAAAACAUUAACGUUAGUGUCACUAAAGCUGGUAAACAACCCCCCCACUGCUAGAUUUGACUGGCUUAAA